GACGAACGCUGGCGGCGUGCUUAACACAUGCAAGUCGAACGGAAAGGCCCCUUUGGGGGUACUCGCGUGGCGAACGGGUGAGUAACACGUGAGUAACCUGCCCUUGACUUCGGGAUAACUUCAGGCAACUAGGGCUAAUACCGGAUAGGAAUCAUUGCUGCCUGCUUGGGGUUGGAAAGCUUCGGCGGUUUUGGAUGGACUCGCGGCUUAUCAGCUUGUUUGUGGGGUGGUGGCUUACCAAGGCUUUGACGGGUAGCCGGCCUGCGAGGGCUACCGGCCACAUUUGGACUGGGAUACGGGCCAGACUCCUACGGGAGGCAGCAGUGGGGAAUAUUGCAAAAUGGGCGGGAGCCUGAUGCAGCAACGCCGGGUGCGGGAUGACGGCCUUCGGGUUGUAAACCGCUUUCAGCAGGUGCGAAGCUUGGGGUGACGGUAACUGCAGAAGAAGCACCGGCUAACUACGUG
This 465-nucleotide ribosomal RNA is filed under the name uncultured bacterium. Its description in RNAcentral is "partial 16S ribosomal RNA". It matches the Rfam family "Bacterial small subunit ribosomal RNA", at positions 28 to 507 of the family's 1533-position model. The record is from RNAcentral.